GAUGAACGCUAGCGGGAGGCCUAACACAUGCAAGCCGAGCGGUAGAGAUUCUUCGGAAUCUUGAGAGCGGCGUACGGGUGCGGAACACGUGUGCAACCUGCCUUUAUCAGGGGGAUAGCCUUUCGAAAGGAAGAUUAAUACCCCAUAAUAUAUUUGAUGGCAUCAUUAGAUAUUGAAAGCUUUGGCGGAUAGAGAUGGGCACGCGCAAGAUUAGAUAGUUGGUGAGGUAACGGCUCACCAAGUCGAUGAUCUUUAGGGGGCCUGAGAGGGUGAUCCCCCACACUGGUACUGAGACACGGACCAGAAUCCUACGGGAGGCAGCAGUGAGGAAUAUUGGACAAUGGGUUAGCGCCUGAUCCAGCCAUCCCGCGUGAAGGACGACGGCCCUAUGGGUUGUAAACUUCUUUUGUACAGGGAUAAACCUACUCUCGUGAGAGUAGCUGAAGGUACUGUACGAAUAAGCACCGGCUAACUCCGUG
RNAcentral lists this ribosomal RNA (479 nucleotides) under uncultured bacterium. RNAcentral describes it as "partial 16S ribosomal RNA". It matches the Rfam family "Bacterial small subunit ribosomal RNA", at positions 28 to 507 of the family's 1533-position model. The record is from RNAcentral.